RNAcentral lists this ribosomal RNA (619 nucleotides) under Parastagonospora uniseptata. Its description in RNAcentral is "eukaryotic LSU rRNA". The stretch from base 243 to 396 matches the Rfam family "5.8S ribosomal RNA". The record is from RNAcentral. Lineage: Eukaryota; Fungi; Ascomycota; Dothideomycetes; Pleosporales; Phaeosphaeriaceae.
UGGAAGUUAAAAAUCGUAACAAGGUUUCCGUAGGUGAACCUGCGGAAGGAUCAUUACACUCAGUAGUUUACUACUGUAAAGGAGGCUGUUAGUCUGUAUAGCGCAAGCUGAUGAGCAGCGGGCCUCUUUUAUCUACCCUUGUCUUUUGCGUACCCACGUUUCCUCGGCAGGCUUGCCUGCCGAUUGGACAAACCUAUAACCUUUUUAAUUUUCAAUCAGCGUCUGAAAAACUUAAUAAUUACAACUUUCAACAACGGAUCUCUUGGUUCUGGCAUCGAUGAAGAACGCAGCGAAAUGCGAUAAGUAGUGUGAAUUGCAGAAUUCAGUGAAUCAUCGAAUCUUUGAACGCACAUUGCGCCCCUUGGUAUUCCAUGGGGCAUGCCUGUUCGAGCGUCAUUUGUACCCUCAAGCUCUGCUUGGUGUUGGGUGUUUGUCCUCUCCCUCGUGUUUGGACUCGCCUUAAAAUAAUUGGCAGCCAGUGUUUUGGUAUUGAAGCGCAGCACAAGUCGCGAUUCGUACCCAACGCUUGCGUCCACAAGCCUUUUUUAACUUUUGACCUCGGAUCAGGUAGGGAUACCCGCUGAACUUAAGCAUAUCAAAGGCCGGGAGGAAAAGGAUC